This 137-nucleotide ribosomal RNA is filed under the name uncultured bacterium. RNAcentral describes it as "partial 16S ribosomal RNA". It matches the Rfam family "Bacterial small subunit ribosomal RNA", at positions 355 to 508 of the family's 1533-position model. The record is from RNAcentral.
UGGGGAAUAUUGGACAAUGGGCGCAAGCCUGAUCCAGCCAUGCCGCGUGAGUGAUGAAGGCCUUAGGGUUGUAAAGCUCUUUCAGUGGGGACGAUAAUGACGGUACCCACAGAAGAAGCCCCGGCUAACUUUCGUGC